GGGUGCCUACGGGAGGCAGCAGUGAGGAAUAUUGGUCAAUGGCCGGAAGGCUGAACCAGCCAAGUCGCGUGAGGGACGACUGCCCUAUGGGUUGUAAACCUCUUUUAUAAGGGAAGAAUAAAUGCUACGUGUAGCAUGAUGCCUGUACAUUAUGAAUAAGCAUCGGCUAACUCCGUGCCAGCAGCCGCGGUAAUACGGAGGAUGCGAGCGUUAUCCGGAUGUAUUGGGUUUAAAGGGUGCGUAGGCGGUUUUUUAAGUUAGUGGUUAAACGUCGGGGGUUCACCUUGAUGU
This 291-nucleotide ribosomal RNA is filed under the name uncultured bacterium. RNAcentral describes it as "partial 16S ribosomal RNA". It matches the Rfam family "Bacterial small subunit ribosomal RNA", at positions 333 to 621 of the family's 1533-position model. The record is from RNAcentral.